This 1963-nucleotide long non-coding RNA is filed under the name Sus scrofa (pig). RNAcentral's name for it is "lncRNA (ENSSSCG00065038217.1, ENSSSCG00160032138.1)". Lineage: Eukaryota; Metazoa; Chordata; Mammalia; Artiodactyla; Suidae. The record is from RNAcentral.
UUUUUUUAUUUCACUUUUUAGGGCUGCACCCACAGCAUAUGGAAGUUCUCAGGCUAGGGGUUGAAUUGGAGCUACAGCUGCCGGCCUACACCACAGCCACAGCAGUGUGGGAUCUGAGCUGCGUCUGCAACCUACACCACAGCUCAUAGCAAUGCUGGAUAUGUUAACCCACUUAGUGAGGCGAGGGAUCGAACCCACAUCCUCAUGGAUAUUAGUCAGAUUCAUUUCCGCUGGGCCGAGAUGGGAACUCCUAUUUUCUAAUUUUUUUUUUUUUUUUUUUUUUUUUUUUUUGUCUUUUGUCUUUUUGUUUUGUUGUUGCUAUUUCUUGGGCCGCUCCCGCGGCAUAUGGAGGUUCCUGAAAGGUUGUUAUGGAUUCUUAGAGAACAGAGUGAUGGUGACACUUGCUGGUGUGGUGUGGGGAGACUUUCUGUGCUUGCCUUGGAAAUCUUCUCAAGGCCCAGCUUUUCUCUUCACACAGGCAACAAAAGUAAAGAAGAGGAAGGACUCACGGGACACAGGGAAUGGGAUGCUGACUGUCAGGGCUUCCAAGUUGCCCCACUCACGAUCCAUCCAUAAAACACUUGGCUAUGCAAGAAAGAAAUGAGGGCUCUCAAGGUCUCUCUCUCUACUUUCCCCUUCAUGCACCCCGUUCACAACAACCGCAAAGGUUGUAGAGAACGGGACAGCAGCUGUGCAACAUGAAAGCCAGAGAGUGGGUGCGGUUCCCAGCCAUUCUGUGAGCAAGGGAGUUUAUUGUCUCUUGCUCUUUAAGCAUAAGCUACCUUGUCCAAUCAAUUUAAAAAAAAAAAAAUUAGGAGUUCCCGUCGUGGUGCAGUGGUUAACGAAUCCAACUAGGAACCAUGAGGUUGCAGGUUCAAUCCCUGGCCUUGCUCAGUGGGUUAAGGAUCCGGCGUUGCCGUGAGCUGUGGUGUAGGUUGCAGAUGUGGCUCGGAUCCCGCAUUGCUGUGGCUCUGUUGCAGGCCGGCGGCUACAGCUCUGAUUAGACCCCUGGCCUGGGAACUUCCAUAUGCCAUAGGAGCGGCCCUAGAAAAGACCCCAAAAAAAAAAAAAAGAAAUUAGAACAAUUUUCUAACUAUAAAACAAUACAUACUUGUAGAAAGUUUCGAAAAUAAAGGUUGGUAAAGAAGAAAUAAGAACUAUCCAGAGUCCACCACUGCCAACAUCCUGAGUGUAUUUCCUUUCCGUGUUUUCUCAGCCACAAACUGUGGGUGGUGUAUGCAUAGUUUGGGGUAUUUUUUCACUUAAUGUUGUGACAUGAAAAAUGUUCCCAUCGUGCUAAAAUUCUCAGGAAAGAAGGAUCUCAUUUUAUUUUUCCUUUUUCUUUUUCUUUUUUGCUUUUUAGGGCUGCACCAUUGGCAUAGGGAAGUUCCCAGCAUAGGGGUUAAUCGGAGCGACAGCUGUUGGCCUACACCACAGCCACAGCCACGCCAGAUCCCUGACCCACUGAGGGAGGCCAGGGAUGGAACCCACAUCCUCAUGGAUAUUAGUCGGAUUCGUUUCCACCGCGUCACAUCAGGAACGUCCUCAUUUUUCCUCUUUCAGCCGCAGCCGUGGAACAUGGAAGUUCCAGGGCCAGGGAUCGAAUCCGAACUAGUCUUUAACCCACGCCACAGCUGCAGCAAUGCUGGACCCUUAACCCACUGAGCUGGGUUGGGGUCUGAACAGGUAAUGCCACAGAGACAGGAUGGAUCGUUAGCCCACGACACCACAGUGAGAACUCCAAGAAGGGUUUUAAUGGCUGAUAAGGCCCAUCAUACAGAUAAAACACAAAUUAUUUAACCAAUUCCCCAUUGUUCAAAAUCGAGGCUGUUUUUGUUUUUUCCGUUAAAAAUAACACUGCUAUUAAUAUCCUCGUACACACAUGUCCAUGUCUGUGAUUGUUUCCUUAAUAUAAAUGACUAGAAAUAGAACUCCUGGGUCAAAAGAGAGAAAUGUUUCCGAA